Molecule: RNase MRP RNA, 257 nt
Filed under: Labrus bergylta (ballan wrasse)
Lineage: Eukaryota; Metazoa; Chordata; Actinopteri; Labriformes; Labridae
Description: RNase MRP (ENSLBEG00000023312.1)
Rfam family: RNase MRP
About the family: RNase MRP is an enzymatically active ribonucleoprotein with two distinct roles in eukaryotes. In mitochondria it plays a direct role in the initiation of mitochondrial DNA replication. In the nucleus it is involved in precursor rRNA processing, where it cleaves the internal transcribed spacer 1 between 18S and 5.8S rRNAs.
Source: Rfam by way of RNAcentral
GGGCAUUCGGAAGGCUUGCUAUCUGGGCUACAUGCAGAGAACACUGUUUCUCCCCCGCCUGCCCAGGGGAAAGUCCCCGGACUCGUGGCAGAAAGUGCCCUGGAUGAUUCCAACGUCGGCACGCACUCCUCCUCCAAAGCUAAGAUGCUCUCAUGAGCUGAGCUCGGAGAUUGCUUGUCGACUUUGUCAGCGUUACUAGUAAUGCAAGUGAGCAUGUACUGGCGCUCAAACAGAACGGGGCUCAUUCUCGGAAUGCU